AGUGUGUUGGCAGAAUAGUGCAAUUGAUUUAGGAUCAGUAUAUGGUAUAUACCACACACUA
This 61-nucleotide transfer RNA is filed under the name Amynthas jiriensis. RNAcentral's name for it is "tRNA-Leu". The record is from RNAcentral. Lineage: Eukaryota; Metazoa; Annelida; Clitellata; Crassiclitellata; Megascolecidae.